AGCAGAAAUUAGUCACCAAGGGCAAGAAGGAGAAGGAUGGCCAAACACCUGAGCCGAAAAGAGGCAUAAAACUAAUGGUUAAAGAUGAAAAAAGUGCUUCAGAUUAGAAUGGAGAGAUGUUGGGAUUUCUUUCUUUUCCUUUUGUUUGACCAAAACAGUUUGUCAUAGGGAGCAUUUGGUCAUUUGCUGGUCCAUUAUCCCUCAGUCCUGCAUGAUCCUUCAUUAUUUUUUUAUAAACAUUAAUUGUUGCAUGAUCUGACGGACUAAGUUAAUUUGAUGCUACAAGGCUAUCUCUCUGUGUGUGUGUGUGUGUGUGUGUGUGUGUGUUUGUGUGUGUGUGUGUGUGUCAGUGUGUCUUUGUGUCAGUUUGAAAUUGCUGCAAAUGUACUGUGCCCACAGCUCACUGGCUCUGCUUCGGUGACAUCACUGAAGUUUCACAUCUGACCCGGACCCUCACUUACUUCGAGUCCUUUUGCAAUGGCUGAACAAGCUGAGAGGAGAAAAGCUGACCGGCGCUUCACUGCUUGGUUUGCCACAGACCGCAGGAGAACCUACCUGUCCACCUGGCGAGAAACAGCACGCCGGAACAAAUAGCCUCAGAGGUUCAAAAGACGGAGUCCAGCAAGCACUGGAUGCUUAGAGCUAGGACGUGGGACCACAGCCACAUUUGUGCCCUCCAUUUGUGCAGAACCUCGCAGGAGAACUUCUGAACCGUGGCUUCUUCGUGACAGACCUGCCCCUAGGAGCCCGGAGCCGGAGGUUUGGCGGAGGAGGCUGAUGACCCGUCCUGUCUUCAUGAAAAAUAAGUGUACUCUGACCGUGCAACACACGUGCGAAACACAAAAAGCACCACGAGAGGGUGAAACUCUAUCCAUCUAUCUAUCUAUCUAUCUAUCUAUCUAUCUAUCUAUCUAUCUAUCUAUCUAUCUAUCUAUCUAUCAAUCAUAUUCUCCAGGAUAUAACCCUUGGCUUCUCGG
This is a long non-coding RNA of Carassius auratus (goldfish), 977 nucleotides long. RefSeq lists it as uncharacterized. Lineage: Eukaryota; Metazoa; Chordata; Actinopteri; Cypriniformes; Cyprinidae. The transcript is spliced from 3 exons. The record is from RefSeq and is a predicted model, not a curated record.